UCCUCGUUAGUAUAGUGGUGAGUAUCUCCGCCUGUCACGCGGGAGACCGGGGUUCGAUUCCCCGACGGGGAG
RNAcentral lists this transfer RNA (72 nucleotides) under Pollicipes pollicipes. Its description in RNAcentral is "tRNA-Asp". It matches the Rfam family "tRNA". From Rfam's summary of the family: Transfer RNA (tRNA) molecules are approximately 80 nucleotides in length. Their secondary structure includes four short double-helical elements and three loops (D, anti-codon, and T loops). Lineage: Eukaryota; Metazoa; Arthropoda; Thecostraca; Pollicipedomorpha; Pollicipedidae. The record is from RNAcentral. RNAcentral also lists the same sequence under 2 other names.